This is a long non-coding RNA of Orcinus orca (killer whale), 4249 nucleotides long. RefSeq lists it as uncharacterized. Lineage: Eukaryota; Metazoa; Chordata; Mammalia; Artiodactyla; Delphinidae. The transcript is spliced from 4 exons. The record is from RefSeq and is a predicted model, not a curated record.
AAAAGUAUGGGCAGUGGAGCAGGACUCUGUGGGUUUAAAUCCCAGCCCCACAACUACUGUUCAAUUUAGGUGAAGUUAACCUCUCUGGGCCUCUGUUUGUUCAUUUGUAAAAUGGAGAUAAUCACAGUUCUUGCUUAUUAGGUAGUUGUAAGGAUUACAUGAUUAAACAUAUCAAGUGUGUCAAAUAGUGCUUGGCACACCGUUGGUGCUCAGUUAAGUGUUAACAACAAACAUUAUUGUUCAAGAAAACUUUUCUCAUCCCAACGUGAUGAAGACAAUGUUUAACGUUUUCUUCCUAAAAUUUUGAGGUUUGGCUUUUCAAAAGUCUUUCAAAAAGUCUUUAGUUACUCUUCCUAUUCCUUUUCUAUUUCCUUCCUUUCCUGAGCAAAUCAUUUGUAAGGCCAUUAGCUGGGGUAGAGCAGGGUAGAUGUCCACGUGGGGCUGAGGGGAAGCCUUGAUGGCCCUGAGUGGGGUGUAAGAGCCUAGAAGGGGUGAGGAGGGCAUCCAUGCAGGAAGGUGGACUGGUGUGGAGAGUAAGAGCCUGAGCAGGGAGAGGAAAGUGUGGAUAUCAGAGCCCUAGUACUGUGAGGUGGGAUCCUUAUGGGAGCAAGAGUUGUGGCAGAGAUGGAAAUUAGUUACUUCUAGGGGGAGUGUUCAAAUAAGUAAAUACAUAAGUAGUAAUAGAAGUAGGAAACUAAUUAGUUCAGAAUUUCAGAGAGUGACAACAAUUAAAAUAACAAAAAGUGUAAAGUUGUAUAAUUGCUUAGCAUUCUGUAGUUCUCAAAGCUCAUGUCUUUAUAGUGAAUACCACUGGGUACUCCAAAAAAGGGAGCUCCUCUCCAAAGGGGGGACUAAAAAUAAAUGGGGACUUCCUGGUUCUUCCCUGACACCUUUGCCCAAAAGCCCAAAUUUAAAAAUUUAUCAACCCUAUUGACCAUGCUAUUAUGUUUCUAAGAGCUUCUGAGUCAGUUGAGGAAACCAACAUGGAUGUUUGGAGCUGGGCCCUCAAACACCACUGGUUUAUAGGUAGGAACUGAUUUUGUGCUUUAAGACGUCUUGUUGCAUGAAGUGAGGCAGAUACAAGGCAGGUAAAAACUCAGGCUCAGUUACACCUUCCUGUAAACUAGGCUGCUGUCAGUUGUUAUCACUAAGGAUUAUCUUGUAAGCUGGGGCAUCAGUCAAGAUUGGAGAUCUGAAAUGACAGUUUCUGAGCUUGAAAAUUAUCUCCAUUCUCUGUCCUUGGACUUAUCUUUGAACAUCUGCUGUCCCAUCUAAACUGGAGUUACUUGAAGUCCCUAUUAUAAAACAGAGGAAAGGAAACAAGUGGUAUCAGGGUCCCUAAAAGGCACCUGGAGCUGCUUUUGCUGGUCUUCUAACCUCUGCUUUCUCACUAGAACAGGGGUGGGCACAGUAUGGUCUGUGGACCAAACCCAGCCUCGCUCCUUCCAUUAGAUAUUGUCUACAGCUUCUUCCCUGCUAAAAGAGCCAAGCUGAGUAGCUGCUACCAGAGACUGUAUGACCUGCAAAGUUAAAAAUAUGUACUCUCUGGCCCCUUCAGAAAGUUUGAUGACCCCCGCUUGAGAAUGUUAACACCAUAGAGACAUUGGCUGUGUCUUGUGCACUGCUUUAGUUCCAGAACGUGGAGAAUUGGAUGCUUUCUGCCCCUCCCCUGCCCUCAGUGUCCUCUCACCUUCUCUCUUACCCCUUUGCUUCUCUAGUAGGCAUAAGAGGAUGGACUCAGCAGUCAGUAUCAUUCAAGAGCAAAGAGAUUGCCAAGCUCUGGUAGAAAAUGAGUAUAGCACCACAGCAAAGCUGUGUUGCCUGGGAUGCUGUCGACCAGGUGCUAUGUCUGCUUUGUAGAUAACAUGUGCCCCCUGAAACUCACCACAACCCAAGACUAUGGGAUUCAGCUACAAGAGGCUGUGGUCCCUUAUGAAAGUUACUAAUGUACAAAACCAAGAGGAUGACUGGUUUGGCCAAAGCUUGACUCAUGAGACAUAAAUGUCUGAGCCCUGAUAUCAGGCAGCUGCUCAGAAAGCCAAGUGUGUGUCAUGGUGAGCUUUGGGAAAGGCUCUGAGGAGAGUACCUUUUGGGAGUUCUCACCCAUAUAUGUCUCAAUUCUUAAAGUAAUAAAUUAAGCUAACAAACUGCUAAAUAAUGACCUCCAUGAUGACCUAGGCUCAACUCUGGAGUCCCACAUUGGACAGUGGUGGUGCAGAGCCAGCUGCCCCAUGACUCACCCUGCUUUUCAUUGUUUUCCUCCUUUCCCAAAGGGCCUCGUGUGUCAUGUGUAGACUUGACCCUGUGUGAUCAAGGACCACCUGUGACCCAGGAAAGAGGCCCACCAGGCCCUAGAAGCAGACUUUACACCAGCUGGGCAGGGAUUUCUGGGUCUGGUGGGCAUAUCUCCUCAGACAUGGGAGUGAAGUAACUGGAGGAGGACCAGAGUGGGGCCUGAAGGGAAGGCUGGAUGGCCAGCCAUGUAAUUUAAUCCUUCUGGGACUUGGUUUCCUUUUCCAUUAAAACAGUGUAAACCAAACGAUUAUAUAAGGGCUUAGUUUUUGAACAGGGAGCUAUUUUCUAGCUCUGCAAGCCUGUAGGUCUAUGAAUCUGAAAACUUCUAGUGCCUGUGCUUCCGUCAACUUGACAAACACCUUGGACAAAAUGUGGCAGCAAUUAUGCCCUGUGGACACCAGGAGUCAUGAACCGUUCACCCCAGAGGACCUGCUGAGGCAUUGAAUUACCACACUGAGGAAACCAAGCCCCAAAUAGCCUGGGUCCAGGGGGCUGAGUGCUUCUGCCUGUUUCAGAAAGAAAUGAACACGUUGGCACUGUGGAAACGGCCUCAGCAUCUUCAAACAGUUACAAAGACAUGUUGGAUCUCAUCACCAACCAAAGAGCCACUCUCACCUGUUCUUGCCUCUUUAAAAAAGCAGAUCCACUUGAAAUGAGAGCAGUGUGGAGGCCACAGCCCGUAGGAAGAUGGACCGAGUUUUCCACUUCUGUGGUUCCGAUGAAAAGGGUUUUGCACUCAUUUGGCUGGGUCAGUUUCACCAUCAGGUGUUCCAGGGAUUACUUAUGCUGGCUGGCCUGAUUGAACGACCAUAUGGCAAAGGCUCCUGCACUUCCAGCUGCCCAGAGUUCCUUUCCAGCUGCAGCGGAAACACAAGCAGUGUAGAAGGAGAUCAGAUGGACUCUUCUCAUCUCAGUUUUCUGGAGAGGUGGUGAGAUGGCUUUUAGAUUUCAAGUCAAAUAGCUGUCAGUCAAUCUCUGAAGGAAGCUCAGCUGAGGGCACUGAAGUCUAUCAGAUCACCCAAGCUUACAGUUUAUGCUUGUUUCCUUGUCUGUAAAGGUUGGAGCCGAUGAUCCUGCAGGUCCUUCUGAUUCUACAAUCCAGACGUUUUAAAGACUCACGCCCACACCCCUACCCCACCCCCGCCCCACGCGCUACAUGCUGACAUGCACGUCAGCUACGCCCUCCGUACGACUUCCUAUGGUGCCUUUUGGUGUGUUUUUUAGCCCAAGAAAGUUAUCAUGUUCUUACUGUCUCAAAAGCCCAGAAGUCACCAUUUAGGUCAUCCUUGAGGUGCAGAAUUCCCUUUGUCCACUUCCUACAGAGGAAAAUUGUUUUAAAGUGGGAUAAUGUAAACAGAAACAUUAUUACUGUUUGUUUCAUGACAUUUAUGUACAACGCUAUGCAGGAGGAUUUCUGUGAACCUUUAUAAGGGUGGUAUGUCAUAGAGUCAGAGUUAGGUUUUGAAUCACAAAUUUAUUAUAGAAAGAUACCAAUUUAAUAAAUGUGUUGCAGUAGGUUUCUAAUAUUUGUAUGCUAAAAUGUGACAGAAAAAACAGAAAAAUGGUCAAAUCUAAUAAGGGGGGAAAGUUUGGAAUUAAAUGCUGCAGAUCAUAGCCUGUGAGUGCCCCUUGUCAGGCCCAGAGAUGACCUAGUAUUAGCCCUUUAAGAGGGCAUAUGCCAGGUUGGGGUGCACAGACCAUUUGUAGCUCUAGGAAACACUUUUGCUACCUAAUUAUAUAUUCUGAGUUAUAAAAAGGAUUUGUAACUGCAAGCGGCUUUCAAAGAAUAAUUUUCUACUGGUGUAAACAGCAACUACGAGAUCUAUAAAUUAGAAAGAGUGGCUGGAAAAUCUCAGCAAAACUCACUUUCCCUGGUGCCUUUACUUAGGCAUUUCUGGGCAAAGUCAGCUUUGCUAAGUAGCCAUUAGGUCUCCACUGGUCAAGAGAAAGGGGA